RNAcentral lists this long non-coding RNA (1095 nucleotides) under Lonchura striata (white-rumped munia). RNAcentral describes it as "domestica (Bengalese finch) lncRNA (ENSLSDG00000001537.1)". Lineage: Eukaryota; Metazoa; Chordata; Aves; Passeriformes; Estrildidae. The record is from RNAcentral.
UGAUUCUGUAUAAAUCAAAAGGUGAAAUUCAUGAAGAAAAUGUAAGAAAUGGGAAAAGCAUUGAAAUGCUUCUCCUCACCUUAAUCUUUCUUCUGGUGAUGAAUCUUAUGAUGGCCUGGAAUCAAGUCUAGCCUUUUGAGUUUUUUUCACUGGAGCUAGGAUUUCAUGGUGGAAGUCUAGGUGACCUUCUCUAAAUUCCUACUUUGGAAAUCAACCAGUUUCAGCUGUUUUAAUAUGUUGCAGUCCGUGUAUCAAUCCUUUAAAAAAGAUAAGCAAAGAAGUACAGAAAAUUGCAUGGGAAAAAAGAGCUGGUGUUAAAAAGACUCACGAUGAAGAGAUUUGUCGCCACUUACUGGACUGACUUAAAGAACCAAAAGGACAAAAAAAGAAGGAAGAUCCACCUGAUCCUGAAGAUCAAGCAGAAGACACCAGGAUUGUUUGGCUAUCUCCUAGAAAAGGAUACGUUUUAUUUUAGCAUUGAAGCAAUGCAAAGUUGUUAACCCUUGAUAAUACUAUUGAUUUCUCAGUAGAAGUUUUUUUCAUUCUGGUUUCUUGCACUCAUUCCAUACCUCCUGUACAAAAAAAAGAACUAGUAAGACUGAAAGGCAAACUUCUCAUGGCAACCCCUGAAUAGUAAAGUCAGUGUUCUUUUCAUGCAGUGGCAUCCCUGUGGAGGGACAUAAAUACAGCGGUUAUGUGUCCAUCUCAGCUUAGGGGUCAGUCUUAGAAACAGAUCAAGGGAGUGUUGUCACUCAUUAAAUUGGUAUUGAGAGGAAGCUUGCUCUGGUUCUAUACUGGAUGGCCCCAUAGCACAGUAGUGCUGAGGAGAACAGCUAAUUCUUUACCAGGCUACAGAGGAUUUGGGAAAUCUGUUUUUGGGCAAUUGCUUUAAAGAUAUGCUUGGCAAAAAUAUAGAGUACUUAAGGAAACUACAAGAGCUUUGUCUCUGGAGCUGUUCUCUCCACUGGGUUUUGCUGCACCACACAACUCUUUUUGAUCUUAGGAUGACCUGUCUCCUGAACUAGGUGAUUACAAAAUGCAAUUUCUUUCCAUUUCUCUGUAGGUAACAAAAAUAAAAGAAACAAAUGUGUAACA